Long non-coding RNA from Myotis brandtii (Brandt's bat), 2243 nucleotides. RefSeq lists it as uncharacterized. The transcript has 2 exons. The record is from RefSeq and is a predicted model, not a curated record. NCBI's taxonomy places the organism in Eukaryota, Metazoa, Chordata, Mammalia, Chiroptera, Vespertilionidae.
UAACAGUUGGAACCACUGUCCUGGUGGCGUGAACUAUACUAAACAUGCACCCUUAAAUUCUAGCCCCAGGGUGAAAAUUUCUCAUGGAUUCAUUAACAUAAGUGGCAUGCUGGUGACUAUCUCAGGCUCACGUUCAUUUUAGUUACCGUGAGUCAGUUUUUUAAGCAUAACCAGGUGCGUCUUUGCCCCCUCCAGCAGUGCUGCCCUCUGAGUCCUGGCAGUGCCAGGCAGCCUUCCUCUCUGACACCACAGCUGCCAGGUCUUGUUCCACCUGCCUGCCCACCUCACCAGACUUGGGCAAGGAUGAAAUAAGAUGAUAAGAGUUUUGUAAACCAUGGCAUGCCAUACAAACACCAGUGUUACUGCUGUGGGACCAGGCCUGGGAAUAUGAGAAUCCAGCUGCAGCAUGGGUGUGGCUGAAAGAGCCAGAUGGUGAACAUCUGUCACCAAAGCACAACACUGCUGAGCACCAGUUUACGGGGUAUAUCCCAUGGGACGGAAUUGCCUCAUGGAAGGUUUAUAGUUUGACUUCUCUAGCAGAGUUGAUCAAAAAAGGGGCAUUCAUUGUGCUUGCCAUGGCUGGAUGGAACCCUGGCCCUUUAAAAACCCGCCAAGGUUUUUAAACCUUGCAUGCAGUCAUCAUGAACACCAGUGGGUGGAAUGACAUUUGUGGGACGCGACCCAUUUCUCUAGGAGUGGUGAUGUAGAAGGACUCUUAGGAGCACUGGGUGGUUUCCUCUCUGAUGGUCUGUGUUGCCCAGUGAAGUGGCUGUCAGCAGGCCUCAGGUGAAGCCAGAUUCACCCGCGCUAAUGGGAGGACCAUGGAGACGCCAGUGCUCGGUGUGACCUUUCGGGUUCUCUGAAGUCUUGCUGUCUACCGUAAUGUCUGGAGAGAAUUGGGUUUACAAAGUGGGAUAUUGUGCUACGCUAUGUAGCAUCUGGCCCUAGGAGAAGACAGAAUUAAGAAGCAUAACUGCAGUCACAAAGUGAGGUAUGGUAGGAAUUUAGAAUUCCUAGGCAUAUAGCUUAGAUUAAAAUGUUUUCAUAAAUAAAAAUGAAGUGAGGGUCAGUUCCAGUACCAAGUACCCCAGGACUCAGUAGCUAGAGGACAAAGCCUAGCCCCUGGGGAAGGAACGGGGACACACACAUGUAGCUACACGGGGUCUUUACUAGCUCGAGUCCCUUUUUCCAGAAUCGACAGCUGAAUCUGAAUGUAGGUAGAGUUUAUAUGUGAAAGAAAAGGUCGGGAGAAUACUCUUACUGCUUAAUUAUUUAUACAUUAAUUAAAAUGUGUAUAUUAAAUGUGUCAGGCACUGCUGGGCAUUGAAAAGGUAAAACCAAAACCAAUCCCCAUCCUCCUGCGGCUACAGUCUAGGAGGGGGACAGGCAUUACUCAGAUCCUCAUGGAUGACUGUGACGUGCAAUGGUGAGAUCCGCAUGGAGAGGUCCAUGUAGCUGGGGGGGCUAAAAACUAGGUUUGACCUGCUUAGGGAAGACUUCUCUGAGGAAGUGAUGAGGGAAUUGGAAUCAGUAUGUAGAAAGUAACAAGGCCAAGAGAGAAAUGCCUCUUCCUUAUUCUGCUUAAUUCGCAUUCCCUUCACCCAACCGCCUCUUCACUGAGACAGACCUAACACCCGGGUGUACAGCCUCUGGAGUGAAGCUGAGUGACUAUUGCACUUCAGAGAUUAGAGAGUGGGUGGGCUGGCAGGUGUAUGUGUGUGCUUGUUACCCAAGACAACCUCGGUGUUUAUCCUGUUACAGUACCCCAGGGGACGAAGACUGUAAUUAUGGCUCUUUUUUCUGACCUAUUAGCACCAGAGGUAUAACUUACAUCAUAAUACUGCAUUGUGUGAUGCUUCAGUGCUCACAACUCAAAGGUGAUUUCUGAAGCACCUUGUUACACUUGGGGACAAUUCCUAAAUGCUCAGACUUCUUUUUCUCCUUACCUUGGAGUCUUGGGCUCUGCAGCUCACUCAUACUUUGUCAGGUUUUUCAGCUGGCAGGGCAGCUCAAUUAAAUUGAGUGUAGAUUCCACUGUAGCGUAGGCCAAGGACACCCCUACCCCCACCUGCACAAUCUUUCUUAAUAUUUGUAAUGGAACUGUUGCCAUUAAUAUUGCUUAAGGGCUAGGGUGUUUGCCAAAACCUAGGUAUCUUAUAGAAGUUUUCUGUUGCUCAUCUACGGUAGUGUUAUCCAAUUAUUGAAAUCUUUUCCAACUGGAAUAAAUAAGCUUUUUAUCCUCA